Molecule: transfer RNA, 76 nt
Filed under: Gimibacter soli
Lineage: Bacteria; Pseudomonadati; Pseudomonadota; Alphaproteobacteria; Kordiimonadales; Temperatibacteraceae
Description: Kordiimonadaceae bacterium 6D33 tRNA-Val
Rfam family: tRNA
About the family: Transfer RNA (tRNA) molecules are approximately 80 nucleotides in length. Their secondary structure includes four short double-helical elements and three loops (D, anti-codon, and T loops).
Source: RNAcentral
GGUCGGUUAGCUCAGUUGGUAGAGCGUUACGUUGACAUCGUAAAGGUCGCUGGUUCGAGCCCAGUACCGACCACCA